RNAcentral lists this long non-coding RNA (757 nucleotides) under Leguminivora glycinivorella. RNAcentral's name for it is "uncharacterized LOC125232206, transcript variant X1". Lineage: Eukaryota; Metazoa; Arthropoda; Insecta; Lepidoptera; Tortricidae. The record is from RNAcentral.
AUUAUGGUCUGUCAUUAAAUAUAUCUCUAUCGUCUACCGAAGGUGGAAUUAUAUUGUAGCUCAAAGCAUACUAAAGUUAUAAAUCGGGGUUUAAUAAAAUGAACGCGUCGAUAGAUAAAUGAUAAGUGUGUGAGUGACCACUAUUGUCUUUUAUAAAAAUCCAUUCAAUAGCUGCCUUUAUUUCGUUGCGGAAUGUGUUUUGGAACAAUAAAAUGCACGGAUUUUUCAAAUUGACAGCUGUGACACCUGUCAAAGUUUGAUUUGACAUAUUGACAAAUGUCACAUACACCCGAAAAACAUAGAAGUCAAAGAUGAAAGUAAGUUGUGUGUUGUAAAAACUAAAGGAAUUCCACCAAAAAUGUUGAUGCAAGACGGACAAGCGGGCAGGAGAAUGAUAGUGAAAUAUUUAAGAGGAUACGUACCCGGGAGCACAAACGUUUACGAUAAUAUCGUUAUCUCUAUCGCUCUUCAAUAUUGGCGCGACAGAGCCAGACUGUGUUUCAAUCGGCGUCUAGCGACGGCGAAUUUCCUCUGAGCAAUUCAGUCAGGGUAUGCUGCAAACAUACCAAGGAGCCAACAAGGAAUGUUGCCUAGGCUUGCCGCGAGAGAUGUGAAAUGCCAUGACACAGACAAAUUUUAAGUGGGCAUGAUAUAUAAUUAUAUACUCAACAACAGCGGGCACUACAAGGCUCUGGCAUAGAGUACCUAGAGCAUGGAAUGAGGCUACCAUUGCAUAGUUAAAUAUGAUGUGGCUUCU